This 765-nucleotide ribosomal RNA is filed under the name Gordonia sp. (in: high G+C Gram-positive bacteria). RNAcentral describes it as "bacterial SSU rRNA". It matches the Rfam family "Bacterial small subunit ribosomal RNA", at positions 26 to 802 of the family's 1533-position model. The record is from RNAcentral. Lineage: Bacteria; Bacillati; Actinomycetota; Actinomycetes; Mycobacteriales; Gordoniaceae.
AGGACGAACGGCUGGCGGCGUGCUUAACACAUGCAAGUCGAACGGAAAGGCCCAGCUUGCUGGGUACUCGAGUGGCGAACGGGUGAGUAACACGUGGGUGAUCUGCCCCUGACUCUGGGAUAAGCCUGGGAAACUGGGUCUAAUACCGGAUAUUCAUUUUUCCUCGCAUGGGGAUUGGUGGAAAGCUUUUGCGGUUGGGGAUGGGCCCGCGGCCUAUCAGCUUGUUGGUGGGGUAAUGGCCUACCAAGGCGACGACGGGUAGCCGACCUGAGAGGGUGAUCGGCCACACUGGGACUGAGACACGGCCCAGACUCCUACGGGAGGCAGCAGUGGGGAAUAUUGCACAAUGGGCGCAAGCCUGAUGCAGCGACGCCGCGUGAGGGAUGACGGCCUUCGGGUUGUAAACCUCUUUCAGCUCCGACGAAGCGCAAGUGACGGUAGGAGCAGAAGAAGCACCGGCCAACUACGUGCCAGCAGCCGCGGUAAUACGUAGGGUGCAAGCGUUGUCCGGAAUUACUGGGCGUAAAGAGCUCGUAGGCGGUUUGUCGCGUCGUCUGUGAAAUUCUGCAGCUUAACUGUAGGCGUGCAGGCGAUACGGGCAGACUUGAGUACUACAGGGGAGACUGGAAUUCCUGGUGUAGCGGUGAAAUGCGCAGAUAUCAGGAGGAACACCGGUGGCGAAGGCGGGUCUCUGGGUAGUAACUGACGCUGAGGAGCGAAAGCGUGGGUAGCGAACAGGAUUAGAUACCCUGGUAGUCCACGCCG